CAUGAAUACCAAUGGAAAACUAACCUGUAACGAGCAAAUCGGGGACGACUGCGAUGUAGAAGUGUUGGAACAAAGAACCUGUAACCAGUAAAGGGAAAUCAAUGUUACAAAAAUAAUCAGUUUAUAAAAUUGAUCAUACACUUUACCAAAGCAGCCUCUCAUUUAGUAACCAGUCCUUUAGAUUAUUAAAUAUACCAACUUGGCAGCUUUGAAUAUAUAUGCAAAGCCAUUUUACUCUAAAAUACAUCCCUCCAUUUAUCCUCUUUAAUGUGGUUCACUAGCACCAAGGAAAGCUUAGCAACGAGGACUUUACAUUCCCUUUCGAAUUUUAAAAUCCCAGGGUUUACCAUCACAAGAAGAUACAUCCUUAUUCAAUCACACUCACCAACUAUUAUGUAAUUACUAAAAAAUGCAACCAAAAUGGGGUUGGCCUAACAUAAAUCAUACACCACACCAUCAAUUGAAGGUUAAUUCAUGGUAACAUUAGUAUUGAAAGGUUGCGUUGUGGGCAGCCUAAGAGGACUCGCAACACUAGGCUUAAUUGCUGUAACAUAUCACAUUCGGAGGCUAGUUCAGACAGCAUCAAUAAUACAAUAUUUAGACAUCAUUAACAACGCAAUAUUCGAACAGCAUCAAUACCACAAUCGGACAGCAUAAACAGGGCAGCAAUUAACAAUACCAACAAGGUAAAAUUCGGACGGCAAUUUAACAGUUUCAACAAUUAUCAAACACAAGAAAAUAAAAGUUCAAGGAAAACUCGCCAAGGUUCCCAACACCGAUUCUACCUAUUUAAUUUACUUCUUCCCUUUUCCGCUACAACCUUCUCCCACCUUGUUAGCUAAAUACAAUGAACCCUAAAGUUACAAAAAUGGUGUAUAACAACUCAAGCAUUCACUAAAUUCUUUUAACACAAGUGAGAAACUCCUCAUCUUCUAGACAUGCAACAUUUACAACUAGAAAAGAAACUCUUCUCUUCUCCCACACAUUCGGUCAAGCUCAAUUCAACAAUGCAACCUGAAUUUGUCAACGAAAAGCUAUGGGCAAGGGAGAGCUUAGAAGAGUUACAGUUCUACUUGAAAAUUUUAACUUCUAGGCAAGCAAAUUUCAUGGUUUUCCAGUACAUGUAGCCGGCCUCUCCUCUCUAGCUUCAUUUGAAAGAGACAAGGAAGGAAGAUAGAAAAAUAAAAAGUCGAAGUCUUUCUUUCUUACUUACCGUCCAUUUCUCCACCCUUUACCCAUCAUAAAAUGAAAUUUAGCCAAUCAACAAAUCUUAGCCGGCCACCAACCAAAAACCAAAAAUCAUAAAAUGAAAAGAAUCAUGUAAAAGAUUAUUCAUACCUCAAAAACCAAACGCCGAGACCGAGAGAAGAAACGAUGAGGACAGAAUCAUCAACGAAAGCAAUGGGAAAUGGGAGGAGAAAUUAUGAGGACAGAAGAUGAGAGGGUCGGGUAGGGAGGGAGGGUAAAACAGAGAGUUGGGGAGGGAAGCCGGACGUAAUACCUAUUACUCGACUUGGGAAGGGAUUAGAAAAGCAGGGAAUUUGGGGAUUAGGUCGGGAUUGUAUUACGCGCGUAAUACCUAUUACAGCGAACCAAACUCCAGAUUAGGGGCGUAAUGUAAUAGCCGCGUAAUCGGUCAGUAAUGGAUUACCU
Molecule: long non-coding RNA, 1653 nt
Filed under: Gossypium raimondii (Peruvian cotton)
Lineage: Eukaryota; Viridiplantae; Streptophyta; Magnoliopsida; Malvales; Malvaceae
Description: long non-coding RNA (GRAI_LNC007585)
Source: RNAcentral